RNAcentral lists this ribosomal RNA (713 nucleotides) under uncultured bacterium. RNAcentral's name for it is "bacterial SSU rRNA". It matches the Rfam family "Bacterial small subunit ribosomal RNA", at positions 69 to 827 of the family's 1533-position model. The record is from RNAcentral.
GAGAUCUUCGGAUCUAGUGGCGCACGGGUGCGUAACGCGUGGGAAUCUGCCCUUGGGUUCGGAAUAACGUCGGGAAACUGANGCUAAUACCGGAUGAUGACGUAAGUCCAAAGAUUUAUCGCCCAGGGAUGANCCCGCGUAGGAUUAGCUAGUUGGUGGGGUAAAGGCCUACCAAGGCGACNAUCCUUAGCUGGUCUGAGAGGAUGAUCANCCACNCNGGGACUGAGACACGGCCCANACUCCUANGGGAGGCAGCAGUNGGGAAUNUUGGACAAUGGGGGCAACCCUGAUCCAGCAAUGCCGCGUGAGUGAUGAAGGCCUUAGGGUUGUAAAGCUCUUUUACCAGAGAUGAUAAUGACAGUAUCUGGGGAAUAAGCCCCGGCUAACUCCGUGCCAGCAGCCGCGGUAAUACGGAGGGGGCUAGCGUUGUUCGGAAUUACUGGGCGUAAAGCGCACGUAGGCGGCGAUUUAAGUCAGAGGUGAAAGCCCGGGGCUCAACCCCGGAACUGCCUUUGAGACUGGAUUGCUUGAAUCCGGGAGAGGUGAGUGGAAUUCCGAGUGUAGAGGUGAAAUUCGUAGAUAUUCNGAAGAACACCAGUGGCGAAGGCGGCUCACUGGACCGGCAUUGACGCUGAGGUGCGAAAGCGUGGGGAGCAAACAGGAUUANAUACCCUGGUANUCCACGCCGUANACGAUGAUAACUAGCUGCCGGG